Molecule: long non-coding RNA, 3366 nt
Filed under: Sus scrofa (pig)
Lineage: Eukaryota; Metazoa; Chordata; Mammalia; Artiodactyla; Suidae
Description: lncRNA (ENSSSCG00000059358.1)
Source: RNAcentral
AUGUCAUUGAGAAAGACCCCUUUCAACUUGACUAUGAGUCAAAUAGGGAAGAAAAGUUCCUAGGAGGAGAAAUUAAACCCCAGACUUCAUUUUUCAAGAAAUUCAUCAGAGGCUCAAACCUCAAACUCAGGUCCCCCAAAACUGAAAGAAAAAUGACCUUAAAAUAACUGAUUUCCAACCCAGUGACAAGAAACUGAGGCCAAUCCCCUUAGACACUGGUACAUUUCUGACUGCUGUAAUUUCUUUAUUAUUUAGAGAAAUGUUCUCCCCUAAAGCGUUCACACGGGUCAAAUGAAACCUAAUCUGAAACCUAAUCUGGUGAAUUUCUGUUAUAAAUAUUUUGUUAAAUGAUUUAAAUAAUUAGCUCAUUUUACUUUUAAAUUAUCAAAAGAAACUAUCCUAUUUCCCUUCAUUCUAACGCAAAUGGUCAUUUCUUCUAUCCUUUUCAGGUUUUUAUUCAUAUGUUUGCAUUUAUGUUCAACCAACCAGUCAACAAACAUUGAGUACCUAUUAUGUGCCAGCUACUGUUGUGUUAGAAAUAAAGCCAUGAAAGACACCUUCUGAGAGUUCUCUGGUGGCUCAGAGUUAAGGACCUGGCAUUGUCGCUGCUGUGGCUUGGGUCACUGGUGUGGCAUGAGUUCAAGCCCUGACUCAAGAACUUCCAGAUGUCACAGGUGCCCUCCCCCCAAGAAAGAGGAACUUCUUUACCAAAAAAGAACCAAAAGAACCAAAAGCAGACAUAAUUUCAGUGUGAUAAAUUGAAUGAAGGAAAACAAAGCAGGCUAAAGAAAUAAGAGAAUGAUGGGAGAGGUGUAUUAUUUUAGAUGCAGUUGGAAGGAAGGUGUUUGAUUUGGUAGCAUCUGUGCAGAGCUGUAAAUAAAGUCAGUCAUGUAGAAUGAGUGAAUGAAGCCAGCCAUAUAGAUAUGUAUGGUAGUAACUUUCCAGGCAAAUGGAUCUGUAAAUGCCAAGGCCCAAGAUGAGAGGGAGCCAGAAAGUUAGGGAUGCUGAAGUGGGCCAAGAGAUGGAGAGAGGAUGAGAAAAGCAGACCAGCAAGAGAGGGAGCUGGGGCCAGAAUGGACAUCCUUUGCAUGGUUAUAAUAGCUGAGAAAGCCCUCUUGAGCUUCCAUGGAGCUGUGAUCCUACUUCUGGGACAUAUCAUCACACUGCGCAAUUCUCACAUUGCUGCAUGCCGUUCACAUGCCUGAUUUUAACAACUGCAUACUAUUCCAUUGCAUGCAUAUGUCAUAAUUAAGUUCCCUUUUUUGCCCUUUAGGGAAUAUCUUUAGCUUUCCCUCUCCCCUAUGUUCUGCUUCACUGUAUUUCAGCUAUUUUUUAAGUAUAAAUUCCCAGAACAGAGAUUACAAGUUCAAGAGUUAUGAAAAUAAAUAUUGCCAAAUCUCUCAAAAGUUAUGCAUCACCUACAAUACCAUAAAUAUAUUAUCUAUUAGAUUAAAUGUAAUUUUGAAGCAUUUUAAGGUUUUUAUGUGAACAUACACAAAAAAGAACAGUAUGAAGUUCCCUCCCUCUAACAAUUAUCAACCUGUGGCCAAUCUUGUUUUCUUUAUAUCUACCCUCAUUUCCAUCAGAGUAUUUGCACCAAACACCAAAACUAUUUUACCUGUAAGCAGAUUGAAUAUAUUUGUGGAAAUAGAAAGUUUAAAGAUUCACCUCUAAAAGAAGGCAAUCAGAAAGUUGUUGAUAUUUGUUCUAAAGUAUGAUUUGGAGGUUCAGGAACAUGGUUAAUGAAUACCCAUAACCAUGAUAAAAUUAACAGCGCAAGACUAGCCAGCUGGAUAGCCUGGCUGGGCAACAUCAGACCCUUGGGCUGUGUGUGGCUCCUCCAUUUCCAUUUCUUCCCAAAUUCAGUGGCUCCUGGAGUCAUGCUAAUUCUGUCCCCCAAAUGGCUCUGGGACCUGGCUCCUCCUCUCCAUUGCUGUCCUGGAUUUCCUUGCCUCUUGCCUGGACCACUGCCACAGCUUCCUAACUGCUUUCUUGGCUCCUGGUCUUGCUCUCUCACCAGCCUGCCCUCCACACUGCCACCCUGGGGGGCUUUUCCUAAGCCACACAUAACAAUGGUGUUUUCUCACUUGCUCAAAAUCCUUCCCUGAGUCUUUCUUGCCUUGAAGAGAAAAUCUACACUCCCAAGCAUGGUCUUCAAGGUGUUUGUGGUCAGUUGGAUAUCUCUUCAUGACCUCUGCUUUCCCCCAACCUCAUGUUCAUCCUCUACUCCUGACAUUCUGACUUAUUUGCAGUUUCCUGAACUGGCCACAUUCCCCCAAAGUGCCGCCCUCUGCCUGGCAAGGCUUUCCUUUGUGUCACCUUUCUCCCUCGGCACCUCCCUGUUUUUUCCUCCUUCAUGUCUACCCAUCUGGCUCCCACCAACUUAUCCUGUCAGGUGCAAUUUAUCCACUGCUCCUGCUUGGAAGCUUGCCAAGACCCACCCACCAGAUCUGAGGUACUGUCGCUGCCACAGGCCCCCAUGCACCCCUUGCAUCCCCCACCAUUGUACUUCUCCUCUUACUGUGACUGCGGCUCUCUCAUCUGUCUCUGACAUUUGACAGGUAGCUCCUUGACAAGAGGAACUUAUCUUGGUUCCCUGUAUGGCACCAUCCAUGUUACAAACAUAUAACAAUAUUUUAUGAACGCAUUGGGAUUCUUGCUCAUGAACAAUGGAAACAAAGCCCUACAUAAUUAGCUUGGAAAGGAAGCUAAUGAGAAGACACUGCUUAGCUCACAGAAUCACCUGGAGAAGCAAGAGCUUGGUUGAGCCGUAAAGCAGCCAGAAAAGGCCUCAAAUUUCUCCAUGGAUCUGCUCAUGUGUGAUCACUUUGCACCCUCCCCAGAGCACCAGCCCUCCCAUCUCAGCCAAUCUGUAGCAGCUCUCAUUCAUCUGUUUUGGAUAUUGAGCUGUGAUUUAAGCUCAAUAGAAAGAAAGUUUCAUAGGUUAAAAAAGGAAAGAAAUACAUGGCUUGUAAGAUUCCAGGGGCCUUAUAAAUCGGUACUCUUAUUUAACUUUUAGCAUAAUUUUGAGAAAGAUUUAUCAUGUUGCUUUUGAUAAUUGAAUAACUAUAAAACUAAUAUUCAUUCACUCAUUCAUUCAUUGCUUUUUGUUCAUUCAACAAAUGUUUACAAAGUACCUCCCAUGUAAAACACAUGGCAGGAGUUUUCAUCAUGGCUCAGCAGAAACAAAUCUGACUAGACCCAUGAGGACACAGAUUCAGUCCCUGGCCUUGCUCAUUGGGUCAAGGAUCCGGCAUUGCCAUGAACUGUGGUGUAGUAGGUUGCAUAUGCAGCUUGGAUCUGGCAUUGCUGUGGCGUAGGCCAGCAGCUACAUCUCCAAUUCGACCCCUAGCCUGGGAACCUCCU